GGAAAAUGUAGUGUAUAUUUUGAAACUUUACUGAAUAAUUCCUAAUCGUGGAGCUAAUUAUAUGUUGAAACUUCUGGGCUUAUAUUCUCCGUACUGAUUAUUCAUCAUUUCUUUGCUUCAUCCAAUAUUUCCGGUAAUUCGCAUGUUAUUUGUUAUACUUCCCAAUGUUGUUUAAAUCAUUUGAAAGUUCUAAUUUUGCUACUUUAUUCAGUUGUAUGUAUUGGUGUUGUUUGAUUGGUUGUGUGUCCCUUUGAUGAUCUUGCUUGGUGUAUUGUAGUGUUUUUUGUUUCUUGAUUCUCAAUGAAAAAUGAAAGCUUGACAAUUUUAUUUUCUCAAUUAGCUGUUAAGGUCAAGUUUGAUAUGAUAAACAUAGUUGAAUGUUAAUUAGCACUGUGGACAAGCACAUAACAAAAAUUACUCUUUUAAUUAAUCUGCAUUGGGUUAAUUAGCAAUAUGGGAAGAAGGAUCAAUUCUGAGGCUUUGGAAGAAAUUUCAAAAUGUGAACACAAAAGAAAAAUGUUGAAGUAGCUUGACUCUACAGUUUACUUUACUAAGGAGGUGUUAGAGUAGAGACAGAAAGGUGGGGUAAGUCAUAUAGUUGAAAGUUAAUUUUAUUUUGUGGUGGCAUGAGCCUUAAUCUUUCAUGUAUGUACAACCCUCACAUGCUCAUGGUGUGGCAUCUUUUAAUGGCAUCAUAAACAAGUAAGCACAAGCAUUGAAUUUUCUUGUGACUUAUUCCAAUUUUCCACAAAAUUCUUAGAUUGUUUCUUUUUUUAACCCCUGAUAGCAUGGACAAACUUGGUAAUUUGGAGCAAGUAAUGUUGAAAGUAAUGCUGAGUGGCUGAUAUAAUGAUCUCAAAACAAUGUUGCUCAACUCAAGGAAGAAAUGAAUUAUGAGGCAUGUCUUUGAGUAAGUUUUAAGUUUUGACUAGUAUUACUAUUAUUUUAUUAUAAGUUAUUGUUUAAACCCAUAAUUAUGCAUGAAGCAGUCCUGAACAUGUGGCAUUGCUUAUAAGCAGAAAGAAAUGGCCAUCUUUUUUUUUUUUUGAAUUUGUUUGGAUCAAAGUGAGAGAUUAGAGAUUUUGGCCAUAAUAUUAUAUAUAAACUACAUAUAGCAUAGACGUGCUUUGUUCUAAUUCUAAGUGCAAAUGCAAUGUUUAUUAGAAGGUUAUAAUUUUGUUAAUUCAAAGAUAAUGCCUCAUUAGUUUUGGUAUUCCGUUUAUUAUCUUGGUAUUAGUUUUUGUUGAAUAAAGAAACUAACUAUGAUGGCGAAAACAUUUAUGGUUUAGAGUUAUCUUAAUUCAUAUUGUUUAUUAUUUUAGUAUUAUCUUAAUUCAUAUUGUUUAUUUCUAUUUGACAACUCUUCCAUCUCUCUGGUUUGCCUGUAAUCCACAUAGAAAAGGAUUAACAUGAUCAAGCCAAAGAACAGAUCAAGAAGACAUGAUGUGAUGAAGAAAAUAUGUUCCAUACAAAUAUCACAUGGGAUAGUCUUACAAUGACCUUAGUUAUGUAAAUGUAAUAUUUUGUUGAUGUGUUAUGUACUUUGAGGUAGUAUUACAUGUAAUUGGAAAAAUUACACUCUAUUUUAAUUUGUGUUGUUUAGACUAAAAAUUAAACAUAUCUAUCUUAUAAUGAAACUUUUAUGAUUUA
Arachis duranensis is the source of this 1650-nucleotide long non-coding RNA. RefSeq lists it as uncharacterized. The transcript is spliced from 2 exons. The record is from RefSeq and is a predicted model, not a curated record. Lineage: Eukaryota; Viridiplantae; Streptophyta; Magnoliopsida; Fabales; Fabaceae.